UCGGGAAUUUUGCACAAUGGCCGAAAGGCUGAUGCAGCAACGCCGCGUGAGCGAAGAAGGCCUUCGGGUUGUAAAGCUCUGUUGCCUGCGAAGAAGGGCCCUGUCAGGAAAUGGGCGGGGUUUGACGGUAGCAGGCGAGGAAGCCCCGGCAAACUACGUGCCAGCAGCCGCGGUAAUACGUAGGGGGCGAGCGUUGUCCGGAAUUACUGGGCGUAAAGGGCGUGUAGGCGGCCUGUUAAGUCAGGGGUGAAAGACCGGGGCUCAACCCCGGGGGUGCCUCUGAAACUGGCGGGCUUGAGUGCUCUAGAGGGCAGUGGAAUUCCCGGUGUAGCAGUGAAAUGCGUAGAGAUCGGGAGGAACACCAGUGGCGAAGGCGGCUGCCUGGGGAGUCACUGACGCUGAGGCGCGAAAGCUAGGGGAGCAAACA
This 427-nucleotide ribosomal RNA is filed under the name uncultured Symbiobacterium sp. RNAcentral's name for it is "bacterial SSU rRNA". It matches the Rfam family "Bacterial small subunit ribosomal RNA", at positions 355 to 774 of the family's 1533-position model. Lineage: Bacteria; Bacillati; Bacillota; Clostridia; Eubacteriales; Symbiobacteriaceae. The record is from RNAcentral.